CAGCAGCCACGGGAAUACGAAGGGGGCUAGCGUUGUUCGGAUUUACUGGGCGUAAAGCGCACGUAGGCGGACUUUUAAGUCAGGGGUGAAAUCCCGGGGCUCAACCCCGGAACUGCCUUUGAUACUGGAAGUCUUGAGUAUGGUAGAGGUGAGUGGAAUUCCGAGUGUAGAGGUGAAAUUCGUAGAUAUUCGGAGGAACACCAGUGGCGAAGGCGGCUCACUGGACCAUUACUGACGCUGAGGUGCGAAAGCGUGGGGAGCAAACAGGAUUAGAUACCCGCGUAGUCCCUGUCUCUUACAC
This 301-nucleotide ribosomal RNA is filed under the name uncultured bacterium. RNAcentral describes it as "partial 16S ribosomal RNA". It matches the Rfam family "Bacterial small subunit ribosomal RNA", at positions 509 to 809 of the family's 1533-position model. The record is from RNAcentral.